AUCACCCUGUGACAUACCUAAAACGUUGCUUCGGCGGGAACAGACGGCCCUGUAACAACGGGCCGCCCCCGCCAGAGGACCCCUAACUCUGUUUUUAUAAUGUUUUUCUGAGUAAACAAGCAAAUAAAUUAAAACUUUCAACAACGGAUCUCUUGGCUCUGGCAUCGAUGAAGAACGCAGCGAAAUGCGAUAAGUAAUGUGAAUUGCAGAAUUCAGUGAAUCAUCGAAUCUUUGAACGCACAUUGCGCCCGCCAGUAUUCUGGCGGGCAUGCCUGUUCGAGCGUCAUUACAACCCUCAGGCCCCCGGGCCUGGCGUUGGGGAUCGGCGGAAGCCCCCUGUGGGCACACGCCGUCCCUCAAAUACAGUGGCGGUCCCGCCGCAGCUUCCAUUGCGUAGUAGCUAACACCUCGCAACUGGAGAGCGGCGCGGCCAUGCCGUAAAACACCCAACUUCUGAAUGUUGACCUCGAAUCAGGUAGGAAUACCCGCUGAACUUAAGCAUAUCAAUAAGCGGAGGA
This 518-nucleotide ribosomal RNA is filed under the name Fusarium solani. Its description in RNAcentral is "eukaryotic LSU rRNA". The stretch from base 133 to 286 matches the Rfam family "5.8S ribosomal RNA". The record is from RNAcentral. Lineage: Eukaryota; Fungi; Ascomycota; Sordariomycetes; Hypocreales; Nectriaceae.